This 253-nucleotide ribosomal RNA is filed under the name uncultured bacterium. Its description in RNAcentral is "partial 16S ribosomal RNA". It matches the Rfam family "Bacterial small subunit ribosomal RNA", at positions 524 to 776 of the family's 1533-position model. The record is from RNAcentral.
UACGUAGGGUCCGAGCGUUGUCCGGAGUUACUGGGCGUAAAGCGCGCGCAGGUGGUCAAUUAAGCCCGGCGUGAAAGCCCCCGGCUCAACCGGGGAGGGUCGUCGGGGACUGGUGGACUUGAGGGCGGCAGGGGCUGGUGGAAUCCCCGGUGUAGUGGUGAAGUGCGUAGAGAUCGGGGGGACCCCCCGUGGCGAAGGCGGCCAGCUGGGCCGACCCUGACACUGAGGCGCGAAGGCGUGGGGAGCGAACGGG